UUCGGGGUGAUUCUGGUGGAAUGAGCGGCGGACGGGUGAGUAACACGUGGGCAACCUGCCUGUAAGACUGGGAUAACUUCGGGAAACCGGAGCUAAUACCGGAUAGUAUUUCCUUUCUCCUGAUUGGAAAUGGAAAGACGGUUUCGGCUGUCACUUACAGAUGGGCCCGCGGUGCAUUAGCUAGUUGGUGGGGUAAUGGCCCACCAAGGCGACGAUGCAUAGCCGACCUGAGAGGGUGAUCGGCCACACUGGGACUGAGACACGGCCCAGACUCCUACGGGAGGCAGCAGUAGGGAAUCUUCCGCAAUGGACGAAAGUCUGACGGAGCAACGCCGCGUGAGCGAUGAAGGCCUUCGGGUCGUAAAGCUCUGUUGUUAGGGAAGAACAAGUACGAGAGUAACUGCUCGUACCUUGACGGUACCUAACCAGAAAGCCCCGGCUAACUACGUGCCAGCAGCCGCGGUAAUACGUAGGGGGCAAGCGUUGUCCGGAAUUAUUGGGCGUAAAGGGCUCGUAGGCGGUUUCUUAAGUCUGAUGUGAAAGCCCACAGCUCAACUGUGGAGGGUCAUUGGAAACUGGGGAACUUGAGUGCAGAAGAGGAGAGUGGAAUUCCACGUGUAGCGGUGAAAUGCGUAGAUAUGUGGAGGAACACCAGUGGCGAAGGCGACUCUCUGGUCUGUAACUGACGCUGAGGAGCGAAAGCGUGGGGAGCAACAGGAUUAGAUACCCUGGUAGUCCACGCCGUAAACGAUGAGUGCUAGGUG
This 764-nucleotide ribosomal RNA is filed under the name Terribacillus saccharophilus. RNAcentral describes it as "bacterial SSU rRNA". It matches the Rfam family "Bacterial small subunit ribosomal RNA", at positions 72 to 822 of the family's 1533-position model. Lineage: Bacteria; Bacillati; Bacillota; Bacilli; Caryophanales; Bacillaceae. The record is from RNAcentral.